Dioscorea cayenensis subsp. rotundata (Guinea yam) is the source of this 107-nucleotide small nucleolar RNA. Lineage: Eukaryota; Viridiplantae; Streptophyta; Magnoliopsida; Dioscoreales; Dioscoreaceae. The record is from RefSeq and is a predicted model, not a curated record.
AACCCAUAUUGAGGACAUUUCCGCAGGAGCUCCUUGAACCUAUCCCAUGUCUCAAAUAGAGACUCCAAUUCUAUUUGUAUAAAAACAGAUAUUUCAUUCGUAAGCUU